Molecule: long non-coding RNA, 1927 nt
Filed under: Gallus gallus (chicken)
Lineage: Eukaryota; Metazoa; Chordata; Aves; Galliformes; Phasianidae
Description: lncRNA (ENSGALG00000050632.1)
Source: RNAcentral
AAAUAAUUUACUUAAUGAUCUCACCAUGGGAGCAAUUGGCAGAGCAAGAUUAGGUUGUAAGGGCCUAAUGGACAUGGGAAAACUUAAAAUUACUAGAAGAGAGGUCAGCAGACUGAGAUUCCAGAGCCAAGAAAGGAACCUGAGAUUCCAGAGUAUGCAACCAGCAAGAGUAUACAUCUUCGAUAGUGCUUUUACCCCCAAUAAGGAGCAGCAGUGCGUUGUAUGGAUGCGCCUGAGAGACCCAAGAGUACAUCACUGAGGAUAUGGGGGUUCAGUUGCAAUUUACACAAAGCAUAGAGAGUAUUGCUUCAUGUUGGGUUGGACUGAGCUGUGGAGAUAAAAACUUCUGGUUGAUCAGCCUCUAGGAGCUAAUGCGCCUUGGAUCUUCAAUAAUGCUUCCAUGGAUCCAGCUCUGCAAAGGGAUCUCCUGCAGCUGAAUCUGCAACUGCAAUUGCACCACUUUCAUGACACUGAAGGUUCUAUGACAUCCUGUGCAUCCAAAGAAACAAAGUGCUGAGAGCUACGUGCUGGUCUUUUGCACUGGAGCUGACGCAUCCUUGUAUCAGAUUCAUGAACUGAUCAGUGUUCAGCAGUAAAUCAAAAGAGUUUCAAGGAAAUUAAAUGUGUUGUGGUUUAAGAAAAAAAAAUACUAAAGAAAAGAAAAUCUUCCCAAAUACUAGGCCAAUCUCACAAGUACAAUCAGAGCCAGUCUGAAUUCUUUUUGAGAAAUUCCAUCAAUUCCUGCCAGACACAUACCUUUCUGUAUGAAUAACAGUACCUGAAAGGACGUGCCCUAUAAUAUAACAUUCUGCCAUUGUUUUUCCUCAAAAACCUGCAACACUACAGCCUGCAAUCAGCAGAUUAGGUGCUUAAUGCCAUGGCAUUAUAUGACACAUCUCACAUCUUUACACCCUGAAUUGAAAACAAGUAAUCCUCUUGUUAAGUUUCCUCUCUCUCAACAUCACAUUUUUACACCUGUAUUUUACAACUCUCAUCCGGGAUAAUGAAAUAUUUCUGCAUGUUGGACCAUUUAUUUUAUUUGCUCUAGUAGUUUCUGUGGAAAGUUUAUUGUGAUUUCCGACAGUAUUUUGGAAGUAAGGACUAUGACAAGCUCAGCUAAGUGAUAAGUGGAUGCUUGCUUAUCGAAGCUUAAAAAUAAGAAAGCAAAACUCAUAAAAUGCCAAUACUGUUUAUAGUGACAAAACAGUUUAGAUCUUUUGGCUAAUAACAUGGUAAUUGCAGUGAUUCAUUCUUACCUCUGUCAUACAGCAGAUAAAAUUUUGGAAUUGAACAGUCUCAUUAUUUAGUAUUUGUCAUUUCAUGUUUGGUAACUAAUAUUUAGUAUUUAAGUUGUGUUGGACAAGAUUUUCUUAAUGCUAGAGUGGAUAAAACUGAUUUCUGGCAUAUAAAAUUCAACUGGCAUAGACUUCAGUAGGAAUUACUUUUUGCAAGAAUCUGUGAGCAUAAUUUAGUGCAAGUAUAAAAUGUCUAUAAGUAGAAAAGUGAAAUUCAAAGUAUGUUUUUCUGUUUAGAUCAGAACCAGUGUGGUAGGAUUAUAGGACAUAUAUAAUGAUGUUUUAGAAGUAUUCAUAGAAAUCCAUAAAGGCCCAUGAAAUUCCUUUUCAUUGUCCAGGAUGAACUUCGUUGUUUUUUUUGUUGUUGUUGUUGGUUUUUUUUUUCACAUAUUGUCUGUAAUUAACAGACAAAUACAGAAAUAUAAAAUAUAUGUAACUAUAACUUGUCAAAUACAUCCAUUUCUCACUGCUUACCUGUCAUGAGGCAUUAUCUUGAUAAUUAUGUAUAUGUACCAAAGACUGUAUUUUAUUACAGUUCAUUCUAUUGUCAAAGUCUCUUGCAUUACACAGUCAGAAAUCCUUGAAGUUAAAUGUCCAGUCUUUUGAAACUUAGAAUAAAAGAUGUUUAAUAC